GACGAACGCUGGCGGCGUGCUUAACACAUGCAAGUCGAACAGAGGCGAACGGGUGAGUAAUACGUGGGAACCGGCCCUACUUUUUGGGAUAAACCUUGGAAACGGGGUCUAAUACCUACUAAUGGGGGAUGGGCUCGCGGCCUAUCAGCUUGUUGGGGGGGUGAUGGCCUACCAAGGCGACGAUCAGUAGCGGGUCUGAGAGGAUGAUCCGCCACACUGGGACUGAGACACGGCCCAGACUCCUACGGGAGGCAGCAGUGGGGAAUUUUGGACAAUGGGGGCAAGCCUGAUCCAGCCAUGCCGCGUGUCUGAAGAAGGCCUUCGGGUUGUAAAGGACUUUUGUUAGGGAAGCGGUACCUAAAGAAUAAGCACCGGCUAACUACGUGCCAGCAGCCGCGGUAAUAC
Molecule: ribosomal RNA, 405 nt
Filed under: uncultured bacterium
Lineage: Bacteria
Description: partial 16S ribosomal RNA
Rfam family: Bacterial small subunit ribosomal RNA
Source: RNAcentral